GACGAACGCUGGCGGCGUGCCUAAUACAUGCAAGUAGAACGCUGAAGGAAGGAGCUUGCUCUUUCUGGAUGAGUUGCGAACGGGUGAGUAACGCGUAGGUAACCUGCCUGGUAGCGGGGGAUAACUAUUGGAAACGAUAGCUAAUACCGCAUAAAAUUGAUUAUUGCAUGAUAGUCAAUUAAAAGGUGCAACUGCACCACUACCAGAUGGACCUGCGUUGUAUUAGCUAGUUGGUGGGGUAACGGCUCACCAAGGCGACGAUACAUAGCCGACCUGAGAGGGUGAUCGGCGAAACUGGGACUGGGACACGGCCCAGACUCCUACGGGAGGCAGCAGUAGGGAAUCUUCGGCAAUGGACGGAAGUCUGACCGAGCAACGCCGCGGGAGUGAAGAAGGUUUUCGGAUCGUAAAGCUCUGUUGUAAGAGAAGAACGAGUGUGAGAGUGGAAAGUUCACACUGUGACGGUAUCUUACCAGAAAGGGACGGCUAACUACGUG
RNAcentral lists this ribosomal RNA (497 nucleotides) under uncultured bacterium. RNAcentral's name for it is "partial 16S ribosomal RNA". It matches the Rfam family "Bacterial small subunit ribosomal RNA", at positions 28 to 507 of the family's 1533-position model. The record is from RNAcentral.